RNAcentral lists this ribosomal RNA (473 nucleotides) under uncultured bacterium. Its description in RNAcentral is "bacterial SSU rRNA". It matches the Rfam family "Bacterial small subunit ribosomal RNA", at positions 355 to 825 of the family's 1533-position model. The record is from RNAcentral.
UGGGGAAUUGUUCACAAUGGGCGCAAGCCUGAUGACGCAACGCCGCGUGGGGGAUGAAGGUCUUCGGAUCGUAAACCCCUGUCGAAUGGGACGAAAGACUCGCGAGUGAAUACUUCGCGAGAGUGACGGUACCGUUAAAGGAAGCCACGGCUAACUCUGUGCCAGCAGCCGCGGUAAUACAGAGGUGGCAAGCGUUGUUCGGAAUUACUGGGCGUAAAGCGCAUGUAGGCGGUUAGAUAAGUCUGGUGUGAAAUCCCGAAGCUCAACUUCGGAAGUGCAUUGGAUACUGUCUGACUAGAGUUCAGGAGAGGAGGGUGGAAUUCCUGGUGUAGAGGUGAAAUUCGUAGAUAUCAGGAGGAACACCAGUGGCGAAGGCGGCCCUCUGGACUGACACUGACGCUGAGAUGCGAAAGCGUGGGUAGCAAACAGGAUUAGAUACCCAGGUAGUCCCUGAGCGGGCUGGCAAGGCGCAU